CGAACGGACGAGAAGCUUGCUUCUCUGAUGUUAGCGGCGGACGGGUGAGUAACACGUGGAUAACCUACCUAUAAGACUGGGAUAACUUCGGGAAACCGGAGCUAAUACCGGAUAAUAUUUUGAACCGCAUGGUUCAAAAGUGAAAGACGGUCUUGCUGUCACUUAUAGAUGGAUCCGCGCUGCAUUAGCUAGUUGGUAAGGUAACGGCUUACCAAGGCAACGAUGCAUAGCCGACCUGAGAGGGUGAUCGGCCACACUGGAACUGAGACACGGUCCAGACUCCUACGGGAGGCAGCAGUAGGGAAUCUUCCGCAAUGGGCGAAAGCCUGACGGAGCAACGCCGCGUGAGUGAUGAAGGUCUACGGAUCGUAAAACUCUGUUAUUAGGGAAGAACAUAUGUGUAAGUAACUGUGCACAUCUUGACGGUACCUAAUCAGAAAGCCACGGCUAACUACGUGCCAGCAGCCGCGGUAAUACGUAGGUGGCAAGCGUUAUCCGGAAUUAUUGGGCGUAAAGCGCGCGUAGGCGGUUUUUUAAGUCUGAUGUGAAAGCCCACGGCUCAACCGUGGAGGGUCAUUGGAAACUGGAAAACUUGAGUGCAGAAGAGGAAAGUGGAAUUCCAUGUGUAGCGGUGAAAUGCGCAGAGAUAUGGAGGAACACCAGUGGCGAAGGCGACUUUCUGGUCUGUAA
This 690-nucleotide ribosomal RNA is filed under the name uncultured Staphylococcus sp. RNAcentral's name for it is "bacterial SSU rRNA". It matches the Rfam family "Bacterial small subunit ribosomal RNA", at positions 63 to 739 of the family's 1533-position model. The record is from RNAcentral. Lineage: Bacteria; Bacillati; Bacillota; Bacilli; Caryophanales; Staphylococcaceae.